GCGUUGUUGGGUAGGGGAGCGUUCUGUAAGCCGUUGAAGGUGGCCUGUGAGGGUUGCUGGAGGUAUCAGAAGUGCGAAUGCUGACAUAAGUAACGAUAAAGCGGGUGAAAAGCCCGCUCGCCGGAAGACCAAGGGUUCCUGUCCAACGUUAAUCGGGGCAGGGUGAGUCGACCCCUAAGGCGAGGCUGAAAAGCGUAGUCGAUGGGAAACAGGUUAAUAUUCCUGUACUUGGUGUUACUGCGAAGGGGGGACGGAGAAGGCUAGGCUAGCCGGGCGACGGUUGUCCCGGUUUAAGCGUGUAGGGGGUGUGACCUGGUAAAUCCGGUUGCAUAUCAACCCUGAGGCGUGAUGACGAUGCACUACGGUGCAGAAGUAGUUGAUGCCCUGCUUCCAGGAAAAGCCUCUAAGCUCCAGGUAACAUUGAAUCGUACCCCAAACCGACACAGGUGGUCAGGUAGAGAAUACCAAGGCGCUUGAGAGAACUCGGGUGAAGGAACUAGGCAAAAUGGUGCCGUAACUUCGGGAGAAGGCACGCUGGCAUGUAGGUGAAGUCCCUUGCGGAUGGAGCUGAAGCCAGUCGAAGAUACCAGCUGGCUGCAACUGUUUAAUAAAAACACAGCACUGUGCAAACACGAAAGUGGACGUAUACGGUGUGACGCCUGCCCGGUGCUGGAAGGUUAAUUGAUGGGGUCAGCCGCAAGGCGAAGCUCUUGAUCGAAGCCCCAGUAAACGGCGGCCGUAACUAUAACGGUCCUAAGGUAGCGAAAUUCCUUGUCGGGUAAGUUCCGACCUGCACGAAUGGCGUAAUGAUGGCCAGGCUGUCUCCACCCGAGACUCAGUGAAAUUGAACUCGCUGUGAAGAUGCAGUGUACCCGCGGCAAGACGGAAAGACCCCGUGAACCUUUACUAUAGCUUGACACUGAACAUUGAGCCUUGAUGUGUAGGAUAGGUGGGAGGCUUUGAAGCGUGGACGCCAGUCUGCGUGGAGCCAUCCUUGAAAUACCACCCUUUAAUGUUUGAUGUUCUAACUCGGCCCCAUAAUCUGGGGUGAGGACAGUGUCUGGUGGGUAGUUUGACUGGGGCGGUCUCCUCCCAAAGAGUAACGGAGGAGCACGAAGGUUAGCUAAUCACGGUCGGACAUCGUGAGGUUAGUGCAAAGGCAUAAGCUAGCUUGACUGCGAGAGUGACGGCUCGAGCAGGUACGAAAGUAGGUCUUAGUGAUCCGGUGGUUCUGAAUGGAAGGGCCAUCGCUCAACGGAUAAAAGGUACUCCGGGGAUAACAGGCUGAUACCGCCCAAGAGUUCAUAUCGACGGCGGUGUUUGGCACCUCGAUGUCGGCUCAUCACAUCCUGGGGCUGAAGUAGGUCCCAAGGGUAUGGCUGUUCGCCAUUUAAAGUGGUACGCGAGCUGGGUUUAGAACGUCGUGAGACAGUUCGGUCCCUAUCUGCCGUGGGCGUUGGAAGAUUGAGAGGGGUUGCUCCUAGUACGAGAGGACCGGAGUGAACGCACCACUGGUGUUCGGGUUGUCAUGCCAAUGGCAUUGCCCGGUAGCUAAGUGCGGAAAAGAUAAGCGCUGAAAGCAUCUAAGCGCGAAACUUGCCUCAAGAUGAGUCUUCCCUG
Molecule: ribosomal RNA, 1620 nt
Filed under: Serratia marcescens
Lineage: Bacteria; Pseudomonadati; Pseudomonadota; Gammaproteobacteria; Enterobacterales; Yersiniaceae
Description: bacterial LSU rRNA
Rfam family: Bacterial large subunit ribosomal RNA
Source: RNAcentral